Molecule: ribosomal RNA, 521 nt
Filed under: uncultured Desulfobacteraceae bacterium
Lineage: Bacteria; Pseudomonadati; Thermodesulfobacteriota; Desulfobacteria; Desulfobacterales; Desulfobacteraceae
Description: bacterial SSU rRNA
Rfam family: Bacterial small subunit ribosomal RNA
Source: RNAcentral
AAUGAACGCUGGCGGCGUGCAUAACACAUGCAAGUCGAACGAGAAACCCCGGGCUUGCUCGGGGGAGUAAAGUGGCGCACGGGUGAGUAACGCGUGGGUAACCUACCUCUGAAUCUGAAUAACUUCGCGAAAGCGUUGCUAAUACCGGAUAUUGUCCUUUGAACUGCGGUUCUUGGGAUGAAAGGUGACCUCUUCUUGAAAGUUGCCGUUCGGGGAUGGGCCCGCGUACCAUUAGCUAGUUGGUAGGGUAAUAGCCUACCAAGGCGAGGAUGGUUAGCUGGUCUGAGAGGAUGACCAGCCACACUGGCACUGAAACACGGGCCAGACUCCUACGGGAGGCAGCAGUGAGGAAUCUUGCGCAAUGGGGGAAACCCUGACGCAGCAACGCCGCGUGAGCGAAGAAGGCCUUCGGGUCGUAAAGCUCUGUCUAGUGGGAAAAAAGUCCUGGUGUAAAUAGCUCCAGGAUCUGAUGGUACCGCUGGAGGAAGCACCGGCUAACUCCGUGCCAGCAGCCGCGGUAA